RNAcentral lists this non-coding RNA (22 nucleotides) under Arabidopsis thaliana (thale cress). Lineage: Eukaryota; Viridiplantae; Streptophyta; Magnoliopsida; Brassicales; Brassicaceae. The record is from RNAcentral.
CUAAUUUAUGUGCUUGUGAACA